AGCAGUCGCCGCGGUAAAACGAAGGGUGCAAGCGUUAAUCGGAAUUACUGGGCGUAAAGGGCUCGCAGGCGGUUUCUUAAGUCUGAUGUGAAAGCCCCCGGCUCAACCGGGGAGGGUCAUUGGAAACUGGGAAACUUGAGUGCAGAAGAGGAGAGUGGAAUUCCACGUGUAGCGGUGAAAUGCGUAGAGAUGUGGAGGAACACCAGUGGCGAAGGCGACUCUCUGGUCUGUAACUGACGCUGAGGAGCGAAAGCGUGGGGAGCGAACAGGAUUAGAGACCCCUGUAGUCCCUGUCUCUUAUAC
Molecule: ribosomal RNA, 303 nt
Filed under: uncultured bacterium
Lineage: Bacteria
Description: partial 16S ribosomal RNA
Rfam family: Bacterial small subunit ribosomal RNA
Source: RNAcentral